This 72-nucleotide transfer RNA is filed under the name Planctomycetaceae bacterium SCGC AG-212-F19. It matches the Rfam family "tRNA". From Rfam's summary of the family: Transfer RNA (tRNA) molecules are approximately 80 nucleotides in length. Their secondary structure includes four short double-helical elements and three loops (D, anti-codon, and T loops). The record is from Rfam by way of RNAcentral. Lineage: Bacteria; Pseudomonadati; Planctomycetota; Planctomycetia; Planctomycetales; Planctomycetaceae.
GGCCCGUUCGUCUAUCGGACAGGAUGACAGCCUUUCACACUGUCGAGAUGGGUUCGACUCCCAUACGGGCUA